Molecule: non-coding RNA, 87 nt
Filed under: Aggregatibacter kilianii
Lineage: Bacteria; Pseudomonadati; Pseudomonadota; Gammaproteobacteria; Pasteurellales; Pasteurellaceae
Description: Aggregatibacter sRNA 22
Rfam family: Aggregatibacter sRNA 22
Source: RNAcentral
GGGGACAAAACGCAAAGCGUUUUAAGCGUUGGCUUUACCAACGGCCCCAACGAGGUGAGCAAGUAAGCCAUGCGAGCUUGCGAAUAA